UCCAGGAUGGCCGAGUGGUUAUGGCUCUAGACUUGUGAUCUGGCAAACGCGGGUUCGAAUCCCGCUCCUGGAG
This is a non-coding RNA of Nephila pilipes (giant wood spider), 73 nucleotides long. The record is from the annotation of a GenBank genome assembly. Lineage: Eukaryota; Metazoa; Arthropoda; Arachnida; Araneae; Nephilidae.